CUUUCUCUCUCUCUCUCUCUCUCUGCUGUCUAAACCCUGAUCAUCACAGAGAUUCAGUUGCUUAUCAAUGAAAUCCUCAGAAAUCGAAGUUCUCUCUCGAAAUCGAAAUGAUUCAUCAGAGCGAUUUCGAAGUUCAUCUCAGCGAUUCAGAUAUCGAAAUCGAAGUUCAUAUCUCGGAAUUUUAAAAUUCUGAGUUCAUAUCACUUCGAUUUCAUAUUGCGAUUCAAAUCUGAGUUCAUAUCACUUCGAUUUCGAUUUAGAUUUAGAUUUGAGUUCAUAUCACUUCGAUUUUGAUUCAGAUCGUGAUUCAGAUCUCAGCGAUGCAGAUCUGUCUCAGUGAUUCAUAUCUGGAAAUCGAAAUCGAAAUCGAAGUUCGAUUCAGAUCGUGAUUCAUAUUUCUUCUCGCUCAGGUUAGCUUUGGUCAGUCAGAAGCAAAGGUUUGUUAAUCAAUUCUUUACUUCCUCUUCAUUUUUCACCUUUGAUAAUUUUUUCCUUUCAACUAAAAAAUGUUUUUUCCUUUUACCAAUAUUUUCCCUUUUCAGAUCGUUUUCUUUCAACGGUUUUGCUCUGGUUUGCUGCCAAUGCCCUUAGAUUUGAAAUUAUAAUUUUUCUGAUCAGAUAGAGGCUAUCAUGAAUGAUUUUAUUCAGCUGAAACCUCAAUCUAAUGUUUACGAGGCUGAAACCAUGGUUGAAGGAACACUGGAUGGAUUCUUAUUUGAUUCUGAUAAUGACGCUGACAAGAUGCCUAAAACCGUCACUAAUCAGACUGAUCAAAAUGAGGGCAAUGGAGAGCAAUCCAACACAAAAACUAAAACAAAAGCUGAAAAAACAUCAGGAGUCGUGCGAAAAAGGAGUGGUAAAGCUGCAUGAGGAAAGCCACCCAAGAAAGUAAGAAAGAAAACCCAAGCUCCGAAGAACAGCAAGACUAAGAAAUGAGAGAUGCUACUGAAUGUGAUAAAUUGUGGUGUGUGGGCCGACAUCAAUUCUCAUUGGUGAAGGAAGAAGUAUGCCUUGGAAGGAAAGAUUGAAGAGUGCACGUGAGCAAGGAACACUUGUCCACCUUUCAAAUUUGGAUCUAGAAUAUACUUCAGGAGAAGUGGAAGCAUUUGAGCACCUUUUAGAACGUGAAUUAAUCUCUUUUACGGACAACAGAGGGCAUAAUCAAUCUGUUGAAUUUCGCCCGGCAAUUCUUCAUAAAUUAAUUGAUCGUGAAGGAUUCAUUGAUGGUGUUACUAGCCUCGACCGGGCAGUGGCUCCUGCCUCAAUUUUGUCAAAUUUGUUUGGAAGACUUCAAGAUUAGAGAUAGUCUAACCAAUGGCUUCUGGUGCUGACCUAAAUUCCAUCCUAAAUGAGGGAGAUUCUCUUAACUGCUAACAUUUGUAAUGUUUUUCAUUUCAUUCUUUUUGUCUAUUUAUUUUUUCCUCAACGGUAGUGCUAAUAUCUUUCCUAUUUAUACUGCACAUUAUUAUUAUUUUAUUUUAUUUUGAUAAGUUAUACUGCGCAUUAUUUUAGUACCUAGGUGAUGUGAGACUUGGUUUCAUAGGUACUAGAGAAGGAUGCAAGCUCAUGUAUACAACUUAGGAAUGUGGGAUAUCAGGGUAUUACAUUCAACCCCAAUAGGAAUACACGUCCUCACGUAGUCUAUGGUUCCCACCAUGCUGUUGCCAUUGUCCAUAGGAAAACUGUGCUAAGGAUGCAUAGUA
This is a non-coding RNA of Camellia sinensis, 1703 nucleotides long. Lineage: Eukaryota; Viridiplantae; Streptophyta; Magnoliopsida; Ericales; Theaceae. The record is from RefSeq and is a predicted model, not a curated record.